CACCACUAUACUUUCUAGAAUAGUGGAAGUUAGGACUUCAAGAUUGUCACUUAUCUCCUUGUGUCACACAGCACAGAAACCCCAAGUCCUCACACUGCCCCCACCCCCCUUCUGGCCAUGACUACCAACUACUCUGUUAUUCUAGCGGAGGACAAUGACGGAAGUGGGUAGACGACUGAAGGAGAUCAGCUGUCCACCGCGUACUCUACUAAAUUCAAAAUUUAGAAACAGUGCCUUAAAGACGGGCAAGAAAACCCGGUGUGGGAGUCUGCUCAUCUAUGGUUUGUUACUGCUCUCGCUUCGAUAUUCUUAAAUUCCUAGGUACCAAUGAAAAAGCCAAGUGAACGUGGCAGAGUGAGGAGGAGACAGGAGCGUGUGCACCUUCCAUCUGUGAGAGGCACACUUCAGUCUGGGUUCAAGAUGCAGAAUGGUGCCUACGGC
RNAcentral lists this long non-coding RNA (441 nucleotides) under Homo sapiens (human). Its description in RNAcentral is "non-protein coding lnc-WDR45B-1:1". The record is from RNAcentral. Lineage: Eukaryota; Metazoa; Chordata; Mammalia; Primates; Hominidae.